Molecule: transfer RNA, 72 nt
Filed under: Alosa alosa (allis shad)
Lineage: Eukaryota; Metazoa; Chordata; Actinopteri; Clupeiformes; Clupeidae
Description: tRNA-OTHER
Source: RNAcentral
GCAACUGUGGCCUACUGGUUAGCGCUUCGGACUUGUAACCGAGUUGCCGGUUCGAACCCCGACCAGUAGGCA